Molecule: ribosomal RNA, 984 nt
Filed under: Thelebolus sp.
Lineage: Eukaryota; Fungi; Ascomycota; Leotiomycetes; Thelebolales; Thelebolaceae
Description: SSU rRNA
Rfam family: Eukaryotic small subunit ribosomal RNA
Source: RNAcentral
CUAGUAUAAGCAAUCUAUACAGUGAAACUGCGAAUGGCUCAUUAAAUCAGUUAUCGUUUAUUUGAUAGUACCUUACUACUUGGAUAACCGUGGUAAUUCUAGAGCUAAUACAUGCUAAAAACCUCGACUUCGGAAGGGGUGUAUUUAUUAGAUAAAAAACCAAUGCCCUUCGGGGCUCCUUGGUGAUUCAUGAUAACUUAACGAAUCGCAUGGCCUUGUGCCGGCGAUGGUUCAUUCAAAUUUCUGCCCUAUCAACUUUCGAUGGUAGGAUAGUGGCCUACCAUGGUUUCAACGGGUAACGGGGAAUUAGGGUUCUAUUCCGGAGAGGGAGCCUGAGAAACGGCUACCACAUCCAAGGAAGGCAGCAGGCGCGCAAAUUACCCAAUCCCGACACGGGGAGGUAGUGACAAUAAAUACUGAUACAGGGCUCUUUUGGGUCUUGUAAUUGGAAUGAGUACAAUUUAAAUCCCUUAACGAGGAACAAUUGGAGGGCAAGUCUGGUGCCAGCAGCCGCGGUAAUUCCAGCUCCAAUAGCGUAUAUUAAAGUUGUUGCAGUUAAAAAGCUCGUAGUUGAACCUUGGGCCUGGUUGGUCGGUCCGCCUCGCGGCGUGCACUGAUCCGACCGGGCCUUUCCUUCUGGGGAACCGCAUGUCCUUCAUUGGGUGUGUCGGGGAUCCAGGACUUUUACUUUGAAAAAAUUAGAGUGUUCAAAGCAGGCCUAUGCUCGAAUACAUUAGCAUGGAAUAAUAGAAUAGGACGUGUGGUUCUAUUUUGUUGGUUUCUAGGACCGCCGUAAUGAUUAAUAGGGAUAGUCGGGGGCAUCAGUAUUCCGUUGUCAGAGGUGAAAUUCUUGGAUUUACGGAAGACUAACUACUGCGAAAGCAUUUGCCAAGGAUGUUUUCAUUAAUCAGUGAACGAAAGUUAGGGGAUCGAAGACGAUCAGAUACCGUCGUAGUCUUACCAUAAACUAUGCCGACUAGGGAU